Molecule: ribosomal RNA, 488 nt
Filed under: uncultured Clostridium sp.
Lineage: Bacteria; Bacillati; Bacillota; Clostridia; Eubacteriales; Clostridiaceae
Description: partial 16S ribosomal RNA
Source: RNAcentral
CACGUAGUUAGCCGUGGCUUCCUCCUCAGGUACCGUCAUUAUCGUCCCUGAAGACAGAGCUUUGCAAUCCGAAGACCGUCAUCACUCACGCGGCGUUGCUGCAUCAGGGUUUCCCCCAUUGUGCAAUAUUCCCCACUGCUGCCUCCCGUAGGAGUCUGGGCCGUGUCUCAGUCCCAAUGUGGCCGAUCACCCUCUCAGGUCGGCUACGCAUCGUCGCCUUGGUGAGCCGUUACCUCACCAACUAGCUAAUGCGACGCGGGUCCAUCUCAUAGCGGAUUACUCCUUUAAUUGCUAUGCCAUGCGGCACUACAAUCUUAUGCGGUAUUAAUCUUCUUUCGAAAGGCUACUUCCCCUCUAUGAGGCAGGUUACCCACGUGUUACUCACCCGUCCGCCGCUAAUCCGCUCCCGAAGGAGCUUCAUCGCUCGACUUGCAUGUGUUAAGCACGCCGCCAGCGUUCGUCCUGUACGCCGAGGAGUCAAACUCGUA